Molecule: long non-coding RNA, 1005 nt
Filed under: Setaria viridis
Lineage: Eukaryota; Viridiplantae; Streptophyta; Magnoliopsida; Poales; Poaceae
Description: long non-coding RNA (SVIR_LNC010079)
Source: RNAcentral
CACAAACAUCAUCUAUCCGCCACCGAUCACUCCCUGCACGCUCACAACCUCAUCACACAGAGAGAAGAGAGAUCAAGAAGAAGAAGAAGAAGCCAUGGCGGGCGAGAAGAAGGGCCUGCAGCUGCUGGACUUCUGGGUGAGCCCGUUCGGGCAGCGGUGCCGCAUCGCGCUGGCCGAGAAGGGCCUCCCCUACGAGUACCUGGAACAGGACCUGAGCAACAAGAGCGAGCUCCUCCUCCGCUCCAACCCCAUCCACAAGAAGAUCCCCGUGCUCCUCCACGACGGCCGCCCCGUCUGCGAGUCCCUCAUCAUCGUCCAGUACAUCGACGAGGCGUUCCCGGGGCAGGGCGCGCCGCUGCUCCCCGCCGACCCCUACGCGCGCGCGCAGGCCAGGUUCUGGGCCGACUACGUGGACAAGAAGGUCUACGACUGCGGGUCCCGGCUGUGGAAGCUCAAGGGCGAGGCCCAGCAGCAGGCGAGGAAGGAGAUGGUCGAGAUCCUCAAGACGCUGGAGGGCGCGCUCGGCGACGGCAAGUUCUUCGGCGGCGAGGCGUUCGGCUUCCUCGACGUCGCGUUCGUGCCCUUCACGGCGUGGUUCCUCACCUACGAGAGGUACGGGGAGUUCAGCGUGGAGGAGGAGUGCCCCAGGCUGGCGGCGUGGGCCAAGCGCUGCGCGGAGAGGGAGAGCGUCGCCAAGAACCUCUACCCGCCGGAGAAGGUCUACGAGUUCGUCGGCGGCAUGAAGAAGAGGCUCGGCAUCGAGUAGUGGGGAUCGAUGAGGAGUGAUGAAGGUUGCAGGUUCCAGUUGCAGCUGCUUCGCAUGUAGACGCGUGAUUGUGUUGUAGUGCUGCGUCAUUGGGUUGGUGUUGGUGGUGGCGUCUGUGAUGCAUGGACGCUCCUGUUCGUACGUGUCUUCGUUGUCGGUUGAGUUGUUUGUGUCAUUGGCGUGAGUCCGUGUUCGGUGUCCCGAUCCCGAAAAUGGCCUCCUGCACUCUAGCGUCCUGU